RNAcentral lists this microRNA precursor (198 nucleotides) under Oryza brachyantha (malo sina). RNAcentral describes it as "MIR812 microRNA precursor family". It matches the Rfam family "MIR812 microRNA precursor family". Lineage: Eukaryota; Viridiplantae; Streptophyta; Magnoliopsida; Poales; Poaceae. The record is from Rfam by way of RNAcentral.
AAUAAGUUCAUUUUUCAGUUUUGUUUUGACUCUUCGUCUUAUUUGAAUUUUUUUUGCGAUUAAUAUUUAUAUUGUUACUAGAUGAUAAAACAUGAAUAGUACUUUAUGUGUGACUAAUUUUUUUAAGUUUUUGUACAAAAUUUUCAAAUAAGACGAAUGGUCAAACUUUAGACAGAAAAAUCGAAAAAUGAAGUUAUU